This is a long non-coding RNA of Aegilops tauschii subsp. strangulata, 1016 nucleotides long. RefSeq lists it as uncharacterized. NCBI's taxonomy places the organism in Eukaryota, Viridiplantae, Streptophyta, Magnoliopsida, Poales, Poaceae. The record is from RefSeq and is a predicted model, not a curated record.
GCGCCUCCCAGGACGCCGGCUGAGGAGACAAGUGCAAAAUACAACACCCCCGCCAAGACGCCAGACCUCGGCCUCCCUCUGGUUUUCAUGGACGCCGGCUGAGGAGACAAGUGCAAAAUACAACACCCCCGCCAAGACGCCAGACCUCGGCCUCCCUCUGGUUUUCAUGGACGCCGGCUGAGGAGACAAGUGCAAAAUACAACACCCCCGCCAAGACGCCAGACCUCGGCCUCCCUCUGGUUUUCAUGGACGCCGGCUGAGGAGACAAGUGCAAAAUACAACACCCCCGCCAAGACGCCAGACCUCGGCCUCCCUCUGGUUUUCAUGGACGCCGGCUGAGGAGACAAGUGCAAAAUACAACACCCCCGCCAAGACGCCAGACCUCGGCCUCCCUCUGGUUUUCAUGGACGCCGGCUGAGGAGACAAGUGCAAAAUACAACACCCCCGCCAAGACGCCAGACCUCGGCCUCCCUCUGGUUUUCAUGGACGCCGGCUGAGGAGACAAGUGCAAAAUACAACACCCCCGCCAAGACGCCAGACCUCGGCCUCCCUCUGGUUUUCAUGGACGCCGGCUGAGGAGACAAGUGCAAAAUACAACACCCCCGCCAAGACGCCAGACCUCGGCCUCCCUCUGGUUUUCAUGGACGCCGGUUGAGGAGACAAGUGCAAAAUACAACACCCCCGCCAAGACGCCAGACCUCGGCCUCCCUCUGGUUUCAUGGAUACUGAAGUCUCACUCAUGACGUAUGUGAGAUGGCCAUUGUGAAAGCACUACCAACUUGCAAUGAGAUGUGUGUAUUAGAUGUGAUGGGAGUAUGAGAUGCGUUGGGUGUAUGAGAUGUGAUGGCUGUAUGAGAUACAUAUAUUUCGUCGGCGUCUCCUCGAAAACGAUCAGCGCCGGGUCCUGUACAUGUUUGGCGGCGGUGGAUCAAUGCAUCGGCGUGCGCGUGAUACCUAUAUGAUGUUUGUAUGAGAUGUGAUGGGUAUAGGUAAACUGGACGUCAUACCCGAUGGAU